This 468-nucleotide ribosomal RNA is filed under the name uncultured bacterium. RNAcentral describes it as "partial 16S ribosomal RNA". It matches the Rfam family "Bacterial small subunit ribosomal RNA", at positions 28 to 507 of the family's 1533-position model. The record is from RNAcentral.
GACGAACGCUGGCGGCGUGCUUAACACAUGCAAGUCGAACGGAAAGGCCCUGCUUUUGUGGGGUGCUCGAUUGGCGAACGGGUGAGUAACACGUGAGUAACCUGCCCUUGACUUUGGGAUAACUUCAGGAAACUGGGGCUAAUACCGGAUAGGAGCUCCUGCUGCAUGGUGGGGGUUGGAAAGUUUCGGCGGUUGGGGAUGGACUCGCGGCUUAUCAGCUUGUUGGUGGGGUAGUGGCUUACCAAGGCUUUGACGGGUAGCCGGCCUGAGAGGGUGACCGGCCACAUUGGGACUGAGAUACGGACCAGACUCCUACGGGAGGCAGCAGUGGGGAAUAUUGCAGAAUGGGCGGAAGCCUGAUGCAGCAACGCCGCGUGCGGGAUGACGGCCUUCGGGUUGUAAACCGCUUUCGCCUGUGACGAAGCGUGAGUGACGGUAAUGGGUAAAGAAGCCCCGGCUAACUACGUG